AUGCCUCAUUCACACUAGCAGCGACUUUGUAGCUGCCUUUCGCUCUGGGUGGCGACCUGCUGCAAACGCAGGUCUGUCUCGGCAUAUACCCUCUACAACCGGCCUCUGAGCGAGCUGAGAGAGGAUCACAUGAGCUCUGUUGGUGCUUCUAUUGGCUGACGCUCAAGAAAGAUGCUUUUUAUUUGUAUAAAGUUGAAGGAUUCUUUAUUGCGUCACUUGACACACCCACCCAGUCACCCAGUUGCUUUGCUCACUCUUCGUUAAAAUAAUCGAAUGCAUGUCGCUUUGCCACUGCGAGUCACACCUACUGUGAAUGAGGCU
Molecule: long non-coding RNA, 321 nt
Filed under: Danio rerio (zebrafish)
Lineage: Eukaryota; Metazoa; Chordata; Actinopteri; Cypriniformes; Danionidae
Description: lncRNA si:ch211-198k9.12 (ENSDARG00000096627.2)
Source: RNAcentral